CCAUUCAUUGACUCAUGGGGCUUCUAACUGUACAACAUCUUAUACAGUCCCUGGUCAAUAUGUCACUGUGCUCUUCACACAGGGAGCCUGCCAGAUCAGAUAUUCAGGAUUCAUGGCACUCAAAAAUAACCUGAUUAUUUUUGUAGAUCAGGAGGCAGACCCCAUAUUCAUUCCAGUUAAAGGCUUGCUCAGUUUUGCAUACACAUAUGCUCACAGAAAUUAUGCUGUAGUGAACUCUAUGACAAAAAUCCUAAAUAUUUCUUACAAAAAUUAAUGUGCUGAAAGAACUGGUCUGAAGACAGGAGCAAGAAGAAGCAGAGUCUGUCCCUGUUAUCUAAAAUCAGGGAAGGAAUUGAGUUGAAGAGAAAACCAGGAAAGGAAAUCAUCCCCUGCCUUUGGAAUUGGAUUAAAAAGGUUUGCUCAGGCACAUGCAGCAAUUUCAGCAGAAAGCCCCUGGGUUUCCAGUGACUGUGAAAUGCAGGAUCCAGUGCUGUGUGAGUUCUGCAUUUUCACACAUAGACAUUGGGAACAUCCAGCCUUUUGAAUGAAGCUCAGCAUAUCUUAACUCCAAGGACAUAGACCCAGUGGAAAAAAAUUGCAGUGUACAGACCCCAUCUCCAGCAAGUGCCCAGCAAGGACCUGAGGUUGGAUGUUAAAGGGCUGAGGGUUAAUUCUUGCCCAGCUUUUCUCUGUGACUCUGGACAUGCUGCUCAGGCAUCCAUAACGGAAAUAGGAGCUUGUUUCCAACCAGAGGUUAACUUGGCCACCAUAUAAAAAAAGAGCAUCUCCUGGUGCUCCAAGGUGUGAACACCUGCAAAAUUCUGAGACAAGGAGGCACAAAGAUCAUUGGGAGUGAAAAGAGGACAAGAAGGAGAAAAGGCAGAUGAAGUAGUUGAUUCCUUUCUUCAGAAAUUAUAUUUGCCAACCAUAUCUUAAUGUCUGAGAUUUCUGAUUUUAUUGAGGUUUUUUUUACUACAAUCAGAUGAGUGAAUAUGACCUUGUUGCAAAGCAAGCCACUUACAAUUUUUUUUUAAACUAAAGAUAGCUACUUAAUUUUCUACUUGUGCUAAAACCUCCUCUUUUCAUGUCUUUUCUACUGUCUUGCCGUAUAAUCAAAGUGAAGGAGUGAAAAUAUACCCAAAAAAGACAAUCAUGCCAAAGUGAAGGAAAUCAAAAUUUGGCAUUUUAUAUAACCUACAUUUUAUAUAAAUGUCACAACUGUCUCCCAAAUAGCUUUUAUAGAAGAAAAAAGAAAAGUGGACUUAAGUUCUUCUCAGGAGAUAUCUUUAUUGAUAGCAUCUGUGCUCUUCUGGACUCACAGUGAGAAAUGUGGCUUUGUUUUCUAAAGUGAUUUGCUCACUUGCAGUCCAGCAUUCAGCCACUUGGUAUUCCUGCAUAAACUGAAGUCUUACUUAAGCUCUAGUUUGCAAGUGAGAAGCAGAACUGGCACAGAAACUCUCUGUAGUCUGCAGUUGCAUUAUUCAGUAAUUUUUUCCCCAGUUUAAAACAGAUAGUUGUGUUAUUUAUCAUAGCAAAUAAAAUAAGGAAGAAUUAUUAAAAAUGGGUAAACGCCUGUCAUUCUCCUGCACAUAUCUAAAAUAUUUAUUUCUGUGAAUUUCAUCACUUACUAUUUGUGUCUCAGUUAUUUGUCUUUUUCUAUGAAUGUUUCAGAAUGAGAACUUUCCUGUUCUUGUCUUCACAGCUCAUAACUUUUAUUACUAGGAUCAACUCUCUUUCCUUCUCACCACAUUUUAAAGAAACCAGAUUUUUAUGAUGUGGGUAUUAUUACAUCAAGAGACUGUGGUAAGAAAUUACCAUCUGAUCUGGUAUUUGUGUCCUACACUGAGUACCUGAUAAAAUGAACCAAGUACGUCACCAGAAGAUGGAUGAUUUUGUGGAUAAGGCUCAACCCCCCACAAUGAACUUUAUAGCACAUUUACAGGCUCAUUGUGGACUGGUAUAUAUUGCAGAAAACAUUGUGCCAUGAAGAAAUCCUGGGAUUAGUGCCAAACCAAGGCUACACGUCCACAGGAAAUAGAGCAGUGCUGGGAGACACAUCACCUGGAGACCCCGAGCAAUGAAGGUGCAUUGGCCUGAGGAGAAUGAGUUCCUCAGCUCCUCAGCCCCAGCACUGAUGGAAAUAUCAUCUCCCAGAUUUGAAGCUUGCCUGGCUUGGGUCCAUCCAACCCAGACAGUCUUGAACAUUCCUUGUUCUGUCCCUCUUUCAGGGACUUUUAGCAGUGGUUUCAAUCUCUUCCUAUUAUUGUGCUUCUUAUUACUCUCUUGCAAUGUCAAUUUUUGGAAAAUUAAUGGAAAAGUAUUUCCUUCUGCCUGUUCAAGUUGGAAUUGAUCUAUCUGGAAAUUCUUUUCUUUUUAUAUAUUCAAAGAGAGCCAUGCAUUGUAUAAUCUAAAUAUUACUUUGAAAGAAAUAAUAAAUAUAAAUCAAAAUAUUCAUAGGCUGAGGGUAAAUAAAGUCUGUACUACACUGUGAAUUGGUGGUCAAAAUAACAUUGGUAAUCAGUAAAACAUCACAAAAAAACCCAGAAGAAAAUGUGUGUAUUUUUAAAUAGAUGCUUUCCCAGUUUUGCAAGACAGGAAACGAAACAAUAUGAUGGAAUAUAGAAGCAAUAAACUAUGUUAUAUUUUAACUUAGUUUUUAUUUUGUUACCAAGAAAACAACUCACAUUACUGCAAUAUUUAAGCCAUUACAUGUUUGGUUGGAGUUUUUUCAUUUGUUUGUUUUUGGUUUUUUUUUUCUCCCAGAGGUUGGAUAAUUCUUUAAAUAUAACAGGCUGAGAAAGUUUGCUCAGGCUGUGGUCUAGCUGAAAAAGCAUCACAGAAUAUCUUUCCAUGAAAAAACUGCAGAUAACCAAGGUAUUUCCUUUGCAAUCUGUACUAACUUCCAGACAAAGCCUCUUAUAACAUUUUAGACCUUUUUGAGAUUCAGGGAACUUAAAAAAAUCUCAUCUAAAAAAUUUUGGAAUGAUGAUAAUAAUAGUAGUCAUCAUAACUAAAAAAAUACAUGUUACAUGCAUUUCUAAUACACUGUCAUGAUAGUACUUAAAAUAGUUCAUUAAAAAAAAAUCAAUCCCUCUCUUCUCAGUAAGAGGCCUCAGUAAAAGUUAAUCUUGUUCACCUUAGAGAAGGAAUCCUUGUUCUUACUGUCCUUAGCUGCCUUGUUUGUUUUUUUUAACCCAGCAAUUUCACAUUUUUGUGUAUUACAGUGCAGGUUGAGAUGCACCUCAAAGACCUUUUCAAGCCACCUGAGCACCCAGCAAUGGUGAAAGCCUCAGUGGAGGACACAGAGCACUGCUAAAUAUUUCCUCUCCUGCAGGAUAGCUUGCUUGGUAUGAAAUACAACAGGCUGAAGGCCAAGAGACCACUUUGCCACUUUAAAAUAGAAUUACCUUAUUAUUACUCAGCAAAGCCAGCUGCUUCAAUUCAAAGCACUGCCACCCCUGCACACCCUCCCCCCCCCACCCCAAUUUGCCCAGGAGGGUCAAACUGUGCCAACUUUACUGAAAUCAUUGGCAGGCACUAGGAGCUCACACCCUGUGUGUCAUUCAAGGCUUGUCUCUCCAUCAGGAUAAUAAAUACCUCAUGGGAAGUGUUUCGGUGCUCACAAGGCAUGACAAAUCCUGAGUCACUCACACCACUUCUUUUAGUACAUGAGUAUUUGGGCAUUGCCUUUUCCCCUGAAGGUCUCCCUUCUAGAUUGAGUCAAGUUAUUUUAACAUACAAGAUGUGAGACCAGCUUUGCUUUUAAUAUGCUUGCUCAAAAUGUGACCACCAUUCUUGGGGUCUUAGCUAUGCUAGUUUUUGCUCAUGCAAUGAAAUAUUUCAUCUUCUUUUCUAAAAUAUACUGAAAUGUAUUGAACAACCCCAUGUGGCUGAGGAAAACCAUACUCUUACCUAUUACGUUUAGAAUUUUGUAAAGGGGAAAUUUAUUUCAGUGCAAUAGAACUCCUGCUCAGAGAGUUAGAAUGUAGUCUCCUGGACAACUACACACAAACCAUGCCAUUAUCAUCCCAGCUAAGCAAGGCAUUUGGGCUUUUCACAGCAGAACAGCAAUGGUAAUUGAUUGCAGGUGUACCAGGCAGUGAGCAGCACUGGGAUGCUUCACUCCUUCAUCGUGCCUCAAGCAGCAGGAGGAUGCUUUGGGCUGCUCUGUUUGGCAGGUACUCAACUCAAGACAUGUUUGGAAAGCAACAAACUCAGAACUUGGAAGAUCUUGUUUUUGCUAAUAUUUCUUCUAUGACUUCUAAAGUUUGCAACUUUUCCUUUCUCAAUAGGAGUCUUAUUUAGAAAGAUGCAAAUAAAAAUUUAGGUUUGUAAAAUGUAGAAGGUGUAGGGAAGUCUUGGGCAUCUGAAGGAGGGGAAAAGGAAAGGGAGAGGGAUAUGGAAUAUUUGACAAGGACUGACAAUGGGGUGAGAGGAAAUUGUAAUAGAAAAUCGACUCUCACCGUAUGUAAAUUGUGUAAGAUCCACUUUAUUCUUUGCCUAUGUAGGUGCUUCUCAAUGGUAUAAAAGAACCAAUGCUUUGGUUUGUUUAAGAAACAUAAUUGACUUCAUUUAAGGACUAAUAUCUCACUUGAAAUAAACAUCUAAAAUGUAAUUAAAUAUGCCAUUUAGUGUAAUGAAAUGCUUUCUUUAGUCUUAAGAAACUUUAUUUUGCCUUAA
Zonotrichia albicollis (white-throated sparrow) is the source of this 4680-nucleotide non-coding RNA. Lineage: Eukaryota; Metazoa; Chordata; Aves; Passeriformes; Passerellidae. The record is from RefSeq and is a predicted model, not a curated record.